Molecule: ribosomal RNA, 253 nt
Filed under: uncultured bacterium
Lineage: Bacteria
Description: partial 16S ribosomal RNA
Rfam family: Bacterial small subunit ribosomal RNA
Source: RNAcentral
UACAGGGGGUGCAAACGUUGCUCGGAAUUAUUGGGCGUAAAGCGCGCGUAGGCGGCCACUUAAGUCGGAUGUGAAAGCCCUUGGCUCAACUGAGGAAGUGCACCCGAAACUGAAUGGCUUGAGUACUAAAGAGGGUCGCGGAAUUCCCGGUGUAGAGGUGAAAUUCGUAGAUAUCGGGAGGAACACCGGUGGCGAAGGCGGCGACCUGGGUAGAUACUGACGCUGAGGCGCGAAAGCGUGGGGAGCGAACAGG